UUCCGGCUACAGCCGUUAAAUUAGAACUGAACGGUUCGAUAUCACAGAGGCUAGCGUUAUAGGUGUACAGAGGCUAGUUAUUAGCUACUAGUAAUAGAUAUCACAGAGGCUAGUAAUUAGAUCUACAGCUACCCUUGUUGUUUUUCCUCUUCGUUCUUCGUCCUCCUUUCAGAUUAAUUGUAUCAGAUUGUGUGUAUUUUCGAGAUUCAUUUUUGGAAGUAUUAAUUUCAUUGUGUAGUCCAAGUUUAUGUGUUUAUUCUUUCAUUAUGUAGUCGAAGUUUUGGGUUCGUUCUUCUUUCGCUCCAUUCUACGCAGUGCUUUUCUUUCUUCGUUGUGCUUUCAGGUGCUUUUCAAUUUUCGUUCUUCGUCCUGCUUUGCUUGUGUUACGUUUAAUAUAAUGGUUGCUAGUCAUUUUCCACAGAUUUAUCAGUCAGUUCAAUUUUCAGUUUUCUUCUUUAGGGUUCAUUUUUCGUCGUGCUUGAUUUGGGUAGUUAUUUAGGGUUUAUUUUUCACAGAUUUUUCGAAACGCCCUAAUCCACAGAUUUUUCAAUUUUCGGUCGUCAUCUGCAGGGUUCAUUUUCAGUACUUUUUUCCGGGUUCAUUCAUCGUCUUGCUUCUUUCUUGUGAUUUUUGUGUUCAUUUUCAGAUUGGCCUGACUGGUUGCUAGUCAUUUUCCACAGAUUUAUCAGUCAGUUCAAUUUUCAGUUUUCUUUUUUAGGGUUCAUUUUUCGUCGUGCUUGAUUUGGGUAGUUAUUUAGGGUUUAUUUUUCACAGAUUUUUCGAAACGCCCUAAUCCACAGAUUUUUCAAUUUUCGGUCGUCAUCUGCAGGGUUCAUUUUCAGUACUUUUUUCCGGGUUCAUUCAUCGUCUUGCUUCUUUCGUGUGAUUUUUGUGUUCAUUUUCAGAUUGGCCUGAAUGGUUGCUAGUCAUUUUCCACAGAUUUAUCAGUCAGUUCAAUUUUCAGUUUUCUUCUUUAGGGUUCAUUUUUCGUCGUGCUUGAUUUGGGUAGUUAUUUAGGGUUUAUUUUUCACAGAUUUUUCGAAACGCCCUAAUCCACAGAUUUUUUAAUUUUCGGUCGUCAUCUGCAAGGUUCAUUUUCAGUACUUUUUUCCGGGUUCAUUCAUCGUCUUGCUUCUUUCUUGUGAUUUUUGUGUUCAUUUUCAGAUUGGCCUGACUGGUUGCUAGUCAUUUUCCACAGAUUUAUCAGUCAGUUCAAUUUUCAGUUUUCUUCUUUAGGGUUCAUUUUUCGUCGUGCUUGAUUUGGGUAGUUAUUUAGGGUUUAUUUUUCACAGAUUUUUCGAAACGCCCUAAUCCACAGAUUUUUCAAUUUUCGGUCGUCAUCUGCAGGGUUCAUUUUCAGUACUUUUUUCCGGGUUCAUUCAUCGUCUUGCUUCUUUCGUGUGAUUUUUGUGUUCAUUUUCAGAUUGGCCUGACUGGUUGCUAGUCAUUUUCCACAGAUUUAUCAGUCAGUUCAAUUUUCAGUUUUCUUUUUUAGGGUUCAUUUUUCGUCGUGCUUGAUUUGGGUAGUUAUUUAGGGUUUAUUUUUCACAGAUUUUUCGAAACGCCCUAAUCCACAGAUUUUUCAAUUUUCGGUCGUCAUCUGCAGGGUUCAUUUUCAGUACUUUUUUCCGGGUUCAUUCAUCGUCUUGCUUCUUUCGUGUGAUUUUUGUGUUCAUUUUCAGAUUGGCCUGACUGGUUGCUAGUCAUUUUCCACAGAUUUAUCAGUCAGUUCUAUUUUCAGUUCUCUUCUUUAGAGUUCAUUUUUGGUCGUGCUUCAUUUGUGUGGUUUUUUAGGGUUUAUUUUUCACAUAUUUUUCGAAACGCCCUAAUCCACACAUUUUUCAAUUUUCGGUUGUCAUCUGCAGGGUUCGUUUUCAGUACUUUUUUCCGGGUUCAUUCAUCGUCUUGCUUCUUUCGUGUGAUUUUUGUGUUCAUUUUCAGAUUGGCCUGACUGGUUGCUAGUCAUUUUCCACAGAUUUAUCAGUCAGUUCAAUUUUCAGUUUUCUUCUUUAGGGUUCAUUUUUCGUCGUGCUUGAUUUGGGUAGUUAUUUAGGGUUUAUUUUUCACAGAUUUUUCGAAACGCCCUAAUCCACAGAUUUUUCAAUUUUCGGUCGUCAUCUGCAGGGUUCAUUUUCAGUACUUUUUUCCGGGUUCAUUCAUCGUCUUGCUUCUUUCGUGUGAUUUUUGUGUUCAUUUUCAGAUUGACCUGACUGGUUGCUAGUCAUUUUCCACAGAUUUAUCAGUCAGUUCUAUUUUUAGUUCUCUUCUUUAGAGUUCAUUUUUGGUCGUGCUUCAUUUGGGUGGUUUUUUAGGGUUUAUUUUUCACAGAUUUUUCAAUUUUCAGUCGUCAUCUGCAAGGUUCGUUUUCUGUACUAUUUUUUCUGGUUCAUUCAUUGUCUUGCUUCUUUCGUGUGAUUUUUGUGUUCAUUUUUAGUAGCAAACAAUUGGGCUACAAUUCUUUUCGUUAGAUAUCAGUAAAGAAUUGAUCUAGCUUCAAGUUGAUUGCAUAACAAGGAUUCAGAUAUCACACUGACACCAUCGAAAGGUUUGAAGGAGACU
This 2559-nucleotide long non-coding RNA is filed under the name Zostera marina. Its description in RNAcentral is "long non-coding RNA (ZMAR_LNC005207)". The record is from RNAcentral. Lineage: Eukaryota; Viridiplantae; Streptophyta; Magnoliopsida; Alismatales; Zosteraceae.